This 606-nucleotide long non-coding RNA is filed under the name Callithrix jacchus (white-tufted-ear marmoset). RNAcentral describes it as "lncRNA (ENSCJAG00000077373.1)". Lineage: Eukaryota; Metazoa; Chordata; Mammalia; Primates; Cebidae. The record is from RNAcentral.
AUGAACUGGAAACUUUAUUGUUUAUUUAUUUUUUAUUGCAUUUUAGGAUUUGGGUUACAUAUGAAGAACAUGCAAGAUUGUUGCAAUCCAAAUCCCCAGGAAAGCAGAGAUUUGUUUUUGUCCUUUACUACAUUUCAGCAACAGAACAGUGUCUGGCAUGUAGCAACACUUAGUGAGUAUCUGCUAAUUUUGUAGCUAUUAUGAUGGAAAGGAGUAAGAAAGUCAGCCGAAAUACGCAACUUGGAUGCUUUUGUCCUUUUAUCCUUCUAUCAUUAGGAAUUUCACCUGCAGUUCCUUUUACAGGGUAAAUGUCUAUUUCAGCUGACUUCCUUAUUCCUUGCCUCAGUUUCUAGGAAUCCAGUAGUACCUCUAACUUUUCUCUACUAGGAUCUGCUCACCUCUUGUGCACAAGACUUAAGAUACUUCAAUGAAAAUCUGUCUUCUGUGAAGCCACGUGGAUUCAUAGGACAUAUUCACCACUCCCUUGCCCUGACAAAUGCGUAAGUGCCUGUUUCCCAAAGCAGGAAACUUGGCUUGGAUGUACCAGUUGAGCAUCCAGGCAGCCAGCCAGCACACCCAUGCUGCAUGUUGACAGCAAACCUGAAU